RNA transcript from Camellia sinensis, 967 nucleotides. RefSeq lists it as uncharacterized. Lineage: Eukaryota; Viridiplantae; Streptophyta; Magnoliopsida; Ericales; Theaceae. The record is from RefSeq and is a predicted model, not a curated record.
ACUCCAUUAGAAAAAAGAGCUGCUAUGCUUUGUUCUCAUUUUCAUUUGAAUCUUAAAAAAAAUAAAAACCCUAAGCCGCCAAUUUGGUGUUCUUGGAAACUCGGAAGCUUCUUUUUCUGGUCUUGAAAUGGCUUCAAAAUGCAACAGAUUGAUCAACAGAACAUCCAUAUCUUCCCUCAAAUCCGCCAUUAAAUCGAAUCUCCGAACACCUUCUUCAGCUUCCAUUGACAGACCUCCAACUUCCUCAACAAGGCUCCCUCUCCCAUCCAGAUCCACUUCCUCUCCAUUCCGCCGAUUCUCCUCCAGAACUCUGGCAGAGCUUGGGUGCGUGGAGUCUUUGUUGCCUCUACAUAGUAGGGUUGCGGCAGCUAGGAUGACAUCGCACUUGAGCUCAACUUCCAGGAAUAGCAGAGCACUUUCACAGGGUACACUCUGCCGUACCUCUCCCGACCUCUAAUGUACAUUUUUGUUAUUUUACUAUGAUGCACAUGAAUUUCCAUGCUUGAAAGAAAUAUCUGGGAUUUCACAAGACCUGUCAAUUAUGAUUCUGUGCCUCAUUACCAAAGCUUGGUGAGUCUGUUCCAAGGUGACUGUUAGCAGAGACGGUUGCUAUGAGAAAAAAGUUGUCUUCACAUGAUUGGAAAAAGCAAGGUUUUGUAAUUCAUCCUGACAAAUUCUCAUCCAUUUUGGAGAACUGCUUGAAUUUUACAUAGCUGAAAAACUAAUUCUGAUUAUGCACAACUCUGAUGGACGUGUUACGUGAAAAAUAAGUACGAAGAACUAGCCUUUAUUAUUUUUAUAUGUUAUUUAAUUGGUUGUGAAGUGUUGACGUCCAAAUUGUUCUAAAUUCUGAGUUGCUUAAUCACUUAUUGCCCUUUGGAGUGGUCUCUUUUAUUUCUCGCCAAGAACCCGCAGUUUUGUUCCAAAUGGUUGAUGUUUAAUGUUAAUUGUUGGUUAAAUGAGAGCA